CUAAAAGAGCAGCGAAGCCGCGAGGCGGAGCAAAUCUCCAAAAAAUGUCUCAGUUCAGAUUGCAGGCUGCAACUCGCCUGCAUGAAGUCGGAAUUGCUAGUAAUCGUAGGUCAGCAUACUACGGUGAAUACGUUCCCGGGCCUUGUACACACCGCCCGUCAAACCAUGAGAGUUGGCAACACCCGAAGUCGGUAGUCUAACCGCAAGGAGGACGCCGCCGAAGGUGGGGUCGAUGAUUAGGGUUAAGUCGUAACAAGGUAGC
This 262-nucleotide ribosomal RNA is filed under the name uncultured bacterium. Its description in RNAcentral is "partial 16S ribosomal RNA". It matches the Rfam family "Bacterial small subunit ribosomal RNA", at positions 1238 to 1500 of the family's 1533-position model. The record is from RNAcentral.